GUGCCAGCCGCCGCGGUAAUACAGAGGGGGCAAGCGUUGUCCGGACUGACUGGGCGUAAAGCGCACGCAGGCGGUUGUGGGCGUCGGUGCUGAAAGUCCACUGCUUAACAGUGGAACGCGUGCCGAUACGCCAUAACUGGAGCAAUGCAGAGGCCAGUGGAAUUGCCGGUGUAGUGGUGAAAUGCGUAGAGAUCGGCAGGAACACCCAAGGGGAAGCCAGCUGGCUGGGCAUUUGCUGACGCUCAUGUGCGACAGCGUGGGGAGCGAACUGGAUUAGAUACCCCGGUAGUCC
RNAcentral lists this ribosomal RNA (292 nucleotides) under uncultured bacterium. Its description in RNAcentral is "partial 16S ribosomal RNA". It matches the Rfam family "Bacterial small subunit ribosomal RNA", at positions 505 to 796 of the family's 1533-position model. The record is from RNAcentral.